GAUGAACGCUGGCGGCGUGUCUAAUACAUGCAAGUCGAGCGAACAGACGAGGAGCUUGCUCCUCUGACGUUAGCGGCGGACGGGUGAGUAACACGUGGAUAACCUACCUAUAAGACUGGGAUAACUUCGGGAAACCGGAGCUAAUACCGGAUAAUAUAUUGAACCGCAUGGUUCAAUAGUGAAAGACGGUUUUGCUGUCACUUAUAGAUGGAUCCGCGCCGCAUUAGCUAGUUGGUAAGGUAACGGCUUACCAAGGCAACGAUGCGUAGCCGACCUGAGAGGGUGAUCGGCCACACGGGAACUGAGACACGGUCCAGACUCCUACGGGAGGCAGCAGUAGGGAAUCUUCCGCAAUGGGCGAAAGCCGGACGGAGCAACACCGCGUGAGUGAUGAAGGUCUUCGGAUCGUAAAACUCUGUUAUUAGGGAAGAACAAAUGUGUAAGUAACUAUGCACGUCUUGACGGUACCUAAUCAGAAAGCCACGGCUAACUACGUG
RNAcentral lists this ribosomal RNA (497 nucleotides) under uncultured bacterium. RNAcentral describes it as "partial 16S ribosomal RNA". It matches the Rfam family "Bacterial small subunit ribosomal RNA", at positions 28 to 507 of the family's 1533-position model. The record is from RNAcentral.